Molecule: long non-coding RNA, 3035 nt
Filed under: Lynx pardinus (Iberian lynx)
Lineage: Eukaryota; Metazoa; Chordata; Mammalia; Carnivora; Felidae
Source: RNAcentral
GUCACCCUGGAUCUCAAUAGCAGGUAAAGUUAAAGCAAAGCACACACAUAGUAUGGGGAAAUUUUCUUCAUUUUUAAUUUACAGCAGAAAGAAUAUAAAGCAUUCAGAAAACAUUUUCCAUAUUUUAAGGGCAAUUCAAAACAUUUUGCAUGGUUUCCAGCAGCUGAGUUCUUCAACAGAUCCAUUGAUUCAAUGAUGCUUUACAUGCACAAUUACAAAAAUAAAACUUACAAAAAAGAAGACAUCUAGACUAGUUUUACAUGCAAGUCUCAGGGACCCCCCAUUGGGCGCCAACUACUGUGUGGAACUGCCAUAAGCGACCCGUGCAGCCAGAGAGGGGUUCGAGUUAUUGUCUUUAUUUCGUUCACACAGUACAGCUGAUUUCAAAUGGGUAACGAGAAUAGCAAUUAAAUCUUCAGGAGACAGAAUAAGAUUAGCUAUUAAUUUUAUAAUGAAAUCCUACUCCUGGCACUUGGGAAUUCAGAUUAUCCAAGAAAGCUGCGCUUACCUAUCAUCUUAGAGUCAAAAUUAAGAUUCACAACCAAGAAAAAGCGGUCAGAAAUGCUUCGUUUCAGUGGAAGUGCAUUUGUACCUCACCCAGGAUUCACAGUUGUACUGGUAGGCUACACUGGUAGGCUUUGAACCUACUUCCUAUCCCCUCCAGAAGAACCCUCCUAAUUCUAUGUAAGUCCUUAUCUUCCAGAAGUUUCUAACUUACUCAGCUAAUAAUGUAGCAUGGGAGACAUUAAAAAAAAUAAAUAAAUGAAUACAUAAAUGUGAGGAUUAAAGCAAAUCCACUGAGGUCAUUACUCUUGUCAAAAGAUCACUUAUUUGUACCAUAAGAAAUGGAAGAAACCGAUCUCAAUUCAGUACUAACAUAUGAUAUUCUGAAAGAGCCGGCUUUCACCUUCUGUUCCCAUUUAUGAAUACAAUUGUGUUUGUAAAUUACUCAGUGUCCUCCUGUAGAUCAAAUCGUGUAAAAUAAUAGGUAUCUGGGGGUUGGGGGGGGGCGUGUGUGCAACAGCUGCAACAUAACCCACACAUUUAAAAACAAAAUGGAGCCAGGUCAGUUUACAAAUGUACAGGUGGCUACUAGUUGUGGGGCUGAAACUGUUGUCAAAGCUGAUCACAAGCGGUAAGACAUAUACUUUACAGUAAUCCGAGGUUGGCAGUGAAAGGAAGUAAUUAAAAAACAAGUACAAUUAUAGAAAAGGCACCAAGAGCACUGACCCCAGUUUUUACCACAAUCUGUUUGUAUCUAUCUUCCUUCUAGAGACGCCAGUUUAAAAGCUUAUUUGUGAAUAUUUUUAGGCUUCACAACAAGCCUUGAGUUUUAACGUACAGUUGGCAGCCAGAACCAAGAAGAAGAAGAAAACAAACAAAACUAGUUAAUCUCAGCUUUACACCAACUGAUCCUGAAACUUAACCUGGGAGUUUUAAACUGGCAUCAGCAAAUGCGAACUUUAUUCUCUCGAUUUAACGUUAGUAGUUUAAUUUUUAAAAGCAUCAGAUUUCUUUGGCUCCUCAUUAUGUAGAAAGAGUAAUAGACCAUGACAACCUUGCAAGACCAGUUUGCCUCUUUUAAAUUUUUAGUCAUUUUUUUGUGCAAUUUUUGUUACAUUUUCUGAUUUCCAGCAGGAGAUAUGAAAACGUGAGACAUUUUUCAACCUUUCGUACUAUUUCUUUUGUCAGGUUUUGAUCGUUCUAAGUGUUCUUUGUUGGAGUGAGUGGAUGGUGUUAAGCUAUAUACGGAUUCAUCUUAUGAUUAUCUGUUUAGCGAAAGUAACUUAAUUUUCUUAAGCAAUAUUAGCAUUCACAUUACUUGGCACCAUUGGCAAAAGAAUUUUAAAUUAAAUAAAAUAAACUCCUGGUAGCCAAAAUUAAAUGUAAACAUAUCCUUUUUUUUUUUUUUAAGUAAUGUUACUCUGCCUUUUAUCCUAAGUCUAAAUACAGUAGCUCUUUUUUUUUCCAGUUUAGUCAUGCUUUAGCAAAAUGUUCUUCUAAAGAACAUUUAAAAUAAAGUACUCUUAUAGUGAAAUAAAGUUUUUUUUUGUUUCAUUUUACAGACCAUAGCCACUAAUGCUUUGCUUUUGUUCAUUUCUUUUUUCUUGAUUUCAUGCACAUAUCUCUUUGUUUUAAUAUAUACAAUAUAUACAAACAAUACAUCCACAUUUUUCUCGCUCAUUCAGACAAAACUAUACAAAUAAUUUUAUCUCGCCAUGUUAUCGACCUUUGUGAAUAAAAUAUUUAGCAAUUAAUAUAAUCCCUUUCAAAUAUUUUCUCGCUUUCCGUUUCUACCUUCUAUAUAUACACAGAAACUGCUCAGUUUGGAUGAGAUUAUAGCCAAAAAUAUGGAAUUUACUGGCCAGAACGCAGCACCACACUGAUCUUUUAGGUGGCAAAUGUCCAGGCAAGGUUUAUGAUUCCUUAGAAUGACUACAGUUUCCAAGGUUACUAAGAAAAGCUACAUGCUGUACCAAUUCUCUAAGUAAAUCUCAUUGCACAUGAAAGUAAGGCCCACAAAUGAAAGUGCUGAGCAUGACAAAAGGGACGAGAUGGUCACUACACUCGCAGGUUCCUGGGAGGUGGUGGGGACAAGAAAAUAAAGUUAAACUCUGUGAGCUGUUUCUCAUUAAUUCCCAUGCAUUCCCCGUUUACCACACACCCGCCCCUCUGCAAAUUUCCACAAGACAUUAAAAACCUGCAGAUUUUAAAAGUUGCAUUAAGUGUGCUGUAGAGAUUAAAACAAACACGAAUUCAAAGAAAAUAAAACCAGUGAAGGAAAUGCGAACACACGGACCCAAUGAAGAUUUGUAUGGUCUAAGCCCUCCACUGAGAGUCAAUCCCAAAGAUUCAGCUUCUUGGAAGUAACUGACAGGUGCAGGAGCAGCAUUCUCUUUUGUUGCUAGCGCAUCCCCACCUUUGCUUAUCUAUAUUUUUGGUAUAAAUAUUUGUACAGUUCCACACGAUGUUUGAAUACAGCCCUAUAUGAGAAGGAAACCGGCUGCUUCCUAAGGAAAGGAAGCCUCUUUCGA